GCGCCCGUAGCUCAGCUGGAUAGAGCGCUUGCCUCCGGAGCAAGAGGUCACAGGUUCAAAUCCUGUCGGGCGUA
This 74-nucleotide transfer RNA is filed under the name Fidelibacterota bacterium. RNAcentral describes it as "tRNA-Arg". It matches the Rfam family "tRNA". From Rfam's summary of the family: Transfer RNA (tRNA) molecules are approximately 80 nucleotides in length. The record is from RNAcentral. Lineage: Bacteria; Pseudomonadati; Fidelibacterota.